RNAcentral lists this ribosomal RNA (496 nucleotides) under uncultured bacterium. RNAcentral describes it as "partial 16S ribosomal RNA". It matches the Rfam family "Bacterial small subunit ribosomal RNA", at positions 29 to 507 of the family's 1533-position model. The record is from RNAcentral.
AUGAACUCUGGCGGCGUGCCUCAUACAUGCCAGUCGCGCGAACAGACGAGGAGCUUGCUCCUCUGACGUUAGCGGCGGACGGGUGAGUAACACGUGGAUAACCUACCUAUAAGACUGGGAUAACUUCGGGAAACCGGAGCUAAUACCGGAUAAUAUAUUGAACCGCAUGGUUCAAUAGUGAAAGACGGUUUUGCUGUCACUUAUAGAUGGAUCCGCGCCGCAUUAGCUAGUUGGUAAGGUAACGGCUUACUAAGGCAACGAUGCGUAGCCGACCUGAGAGGGUGAUCGGCCACACUGGAACUGAGACACGGUCCAGACUCCUACGGGAGGCAGCAGUAGGGAAUCUUCCGCAAUGGGCGAAAGCUUGACGGAGCAACGCCGCGUGAGUGAUGAAGGUCUUCGGAUCGUAAAACUCUGUUAUUAGGGAAGAACAAAUGUGUAAGUAACUAUGCACGUCUUGACGGUACCUAAUCAGAAAGCUACGGCUAACUACGUG